Nothoprocta perdicaria is the source of this 381-nucleotide long non-coding RNA. RefSeq lists it as uncharacterized. NCBI's taxonomy places the organism in Eukaryota, Metazoa, Chordata, Aves, Tinamiformes, Tinamidae. The transcript has 4 exons. The record is from RefSeq and is a predicted model, not a curated record.
CCUUGAAGAGAACUACCAUGGAUUUGAAAAAUAUUACUCAGCAGUUGUCUUGCAUUGGUUGUCCAUGAAGCCCAGCUACAUGGAUAGAGUCAGCUGUCAGACAGGUUAUGUCUUCUGUACAGGGUCUGAGGAUUUAUGUUAUACCAGAAGCCAGAAAAAUGACUAUGUACUGAGCAGCAUGUCCGUAAUAAUUCAGAAUUAAGGGAGUGGAAAGAGUAAAACUACUGGCUUAAUAUUAUCAAUGAAGAGCUAUUUAUGAAUGAAUUGCUAGUAAAAAUAAGGAAGACAGUGAAACGGUUACCAAAUCCAGUAACUGAGUUCUGCUCUGCUAUAUGAAUUUGCAGUUGCUGAGAGAAAAACCUACAUGUAAGAAGAUUAUGG